GAGUUUGAUCCUGGCUCAGCUUAUCGCUGGCGGCAGGCCUAACACAUGCAAGUCGAGCGCAGUCCUUCGGGACCGAGCGGCGGACGGGUUAGUAACGCGUGAGACGUACUCAGAUCUAAGGAAUAGCCUCGGGAACUGAGAGUAAUACCUUAUACGCCUUCGGGGGAAGAUUUAUCGGAUUGGAUCGGGCCGCGUAGAUAGAUAGUGUGGGUAUGUCUACAGUCUACGAUCUAUAGCUGUUAGAGAUGAUCAGCACACUAACUGAGACACGCAGACUCUACGAGCAGCAGUGGAUCUAGACAUGCGCAGCUGAUCUAGCAUGCGCGUGUGUGAUGAGCUAGUCGUAAGACUCGCGAGAUGAUAUGACGUAUCUGUAGAUCAR
Molecule: ribosomal RNA, 382 nt
Filed under: uncultured Roseobacter sp.
Lineage: Bacteria; Pseudomonadati; Pseudomonadota; Alphaproteobacteria; Rhodobacterales; Roseobacteraceae
Description: bacterial SSU rRNA
Rfam family: Bacterial small subunit ribosomal RNA
Source: RNAcentral